UGAUUUCACAUUUAACUUGUUCACUCUUGUUUCUGGGGGGGGAAAAAGAGAAUGUUUUGUAUAUUUAUAUUAUUUAUAUAUUUUUCACCCUGCAUUUGGGAUAUUCCUCACUUAAAAAAAAAAAUCCAAACUAGUUAUUUGGUGAGGCUUCAAAGCCUUUUGUAGACAUUGCCAUAGUUAAAUUUCACAAUACUUCUCUGAGGCAUAAAAUUAAGUUUUAAAAUUCCCAAUUGUUGAAUAAGGAAAUUUAAGGACAAAGUUUAAGCGAUUUACUGAGGCCACAGGAAAAAGUGUAAGCAGUGGAAUAAGCCAUUCUGUGGCUGGUAACAUACCAGAGCACAGGACAAUUAUAAAAUUUCACACACUUUAUCCAUAGUCUACCUUUUUGCUCCUUCCCCUUUCCAGCCAGACAAAAAACAUUUUCAGCUAAGCAUUAUCCCAUAUAAAGUCCUGGUAUUUCUAUUUCUGUCAUCUUGUUUCUUCAAAUGAACUAACUUUUUGCUCUUUGUUUAAAAGGCUUCAUUAUCUUAUAGUCAAGUUAGUCGUCUUCUCAGGAAAAAAUAAGUGUUUGUGGAUACUGAAAAUGUGACCACCACCAAAGUGUCCAAGAACCACACUCUCAGAGACCACAAAUGAUGGCUUCACACCUUUGUUGGAGCCUUUGGAAUAAUGCAAAUCAAGUAGUAAAACCACCAACAGAAGAAUCACCUGAACCCCACAUGAAGCACUUGGUAAUCAAUGUGUUGGUUAAAUCCGAAGAUCUAGUUUUAAAAGGCAUGUGGAAUGUGUGCCAGAAAAAUGCAGCAGGCUUCCAUCUGUACUUUGCUUCGAUCUGAUACAAUUAGAUGGACCUUUGUGUGACCUCCCUGACCCAUCCAGAACUCCCACUGGCUUUCAAGAUUGACCAUAAGCCAGCGAGAAUCUUAUGAAACAGGGCAAAUCUGCUAAGGCAUGUAAACCCCUUUUCCAAUAGUGCCUCAAGCAUUUAGGCACAGAUCUUGGAAGUGAUCUUAGUAAUAAACUUCUUAAAGACCACUGUCUCA
RNAcentral lists this long non-coding RNA (1043 nucleotides) under Parus major (Great Tit). RNAcentral's name for it is "lncRNA (ENSPMJG00000018299.1)". Lineage: Eukaryota; Metazoa; Chordata; Aves; Passeriformes; Paridae. The record is from RNAcentral.